GUGGGGAAUAUUGCGCAAUGGGCGAAAGCCUGACGCAGCGACGCCGCGUGGGGGAUGACGGCCUUCGGGUUGUAAACCUCUUUCAGCAGGGACGAAGCGAGAGUGACGGUACCUGCAGAAGAAGCACCGGCCAACUACGUGCCAGCAGCCGCGGUAAUACGUAGGGUGCAAGCGUUGUCCGGAAUUAUUGGGCGUAAAGAGCUCGUAGGCGGUUUGUUGCGUCGGCUGUGAAAUCCCGAGGCUCAACCUCGGGUCUGCAGUCGAUACGAGCAAACUAGAGUGUUGCAGGGGAGACUGGAAUUCCUGGUGUAGCGGUGAAAUGCGCAGAUAUCAGGAGGAACACCGGUGGCGAAGGCGGGUCUCUGGGCAACAACUGACGCUGAGGAGCGAAAGCGUGGGGAGCGAACAGG
This 410-nucleotide ribosomal RNA is filed under the name uncultured bacterium. RNAcentral's name for it is "bacterial SSU rRNA". It matches the Rfam family "Bacterial small subunit ribosomal RNA", at positions 354 to 776 of the family's 1533-position model. The record is from RNAcentral.